GUCCACGCUGUAAACUAUGGACACUAGGUAUGGGGAGUAUCGACCCUUUCCGUGCCGAAGCUAACGCGUUAAGUGUCCCGUCUGGGGAGUACGGCCGCAAGGCUAAAACUCAAAGGAAUUGACGGGGGCCCGCACAAGCAGCGGAGCGUGUGGUUUAAUUCGAUGCAAAACGAAGAACCUUACCAAGGUUUGACAUGCUAGAAGUAGUGAACCGAAAGGGAAACGAACUGUCAAGUCAGUAGCUAGCACAGGUGCUGCAUGGCUGUCGU
This 269-nucleotide ribosomal RNA is filed under the name uncultured bacterium. RNAcentral describes it as "partial 16S ribosomal RNA". It matches the Rfam family "Bacterial small subunit ribosomal RNA", at positions 793 to 1055 of the family's 1533-position model. The record is from RNAcentral.